RNAcentral lists this ribosomal RNA (432 nucleotides) under uncultured bacterium. RNAcentral describes it as "partial 16S ribosomal RNA". It matches the Rfam family "Bacterial small subunit ribosomal RNA", at positions 338 to 795 of the family's 1533-position model. The record is from RNAcentral.
CCUACGGGAGGCAGCAGUGGGGAAUUUUGGACAAUGGGCGCAAGCCUGAUCCAGCAAUGCCGCGUGCAGGAUGAAGGCCUUCGGGUUGUAAACUGCUUUUGUGAGCAGCUCGGUACCGUAAGAAUAAGCACCGGCUAACUACGUGCCAGCAGCCGCGGUAAUACGUAGGGUGCAAGCGUUAAUCGGAAUUACUGGGCGUAAAGCGUGCGCAGGCGGUUAUGUAAGACAGAUGUGAAAUCCCCGGGCUCAACCUGGGAACUGCAUUUGUGACUGCAUAGCUAGAGUACGGCAGAGGGGGAUGGAAUUCCGCGUGUAGCAGUGAAAUGCGUAGAUAUGCGGAGGAACACCGAUGGCGAAGGCAAUCCCCUGGGCCUGACUGACGCUCAUGCACGAAAGCGUGGGGAGCAAACAGGAUUAGAUACCCUAGUAGUC